Molecule: non-coding RNA, 398 nt
Filed under: Pan troglodytes (chimpanzee)
Lineage: Eukaryota; Metazoa; Chordata; Mammalia; Primates; Hominidae
Also listed under: 1 other name
Source: RNAcentral
UAAUAGUCACCUCUUGCUCUAUUAUACUUUCCCAGCUGAUCAAACACUGCACUUAACAGCUCUUCCCUCUGCAGAGAGGUUUUCUACUAUUCAAUAAUACAGAUUUUGCCUUUCUUUCAGAUGACACCCCCAACCAUGGUUGUGAAGAUGCUAGCGACACAUCGCUGUUGGGAGUUCUUCCUGCCUCUGAAGCCACAAAAUGACUUUAGACUUCCAGGGCUCACCAGAUCAACCUCUAAAUAUCUUUGAAGGAGACAACAACUUUUAAAUGAAUAAAGAGGAAGUCAAGUUGCCCUAUGGAAAACUUGUCCAAAUAACAUUUCUUGAACAAUAGGAGAACAGCUAAAUUGAUAAAGACUGGUGAUAAUAAAAAUUGAAUUAUGUAUAUCACUGUUAAA